RNA transcript from Drosophila pseudoobscura, 1243 nucleotides. It is a transcript of the gene named Bax Inhibitor-1, with no coding region annotated. NCBI's taxonomy places the organism in Eukaryota, Metazoa, Arthropoda, Insecta, Diptera, Drosophilidae. The record is from RefSeq and is a predicted model, not a curated record. The transcript has 5 exons.
UGUUUACAUCACUUACUAAAUCUUGUGAAUUACAGAAAAAGAAAACAAGUAGGCGUCUGAACUUUAUUUCAGCAAGUCAUAAAGCAGUUUGUCUGUGAACAUAUCAGAUUCACUCCUCCGUUUGAAAAACUAAUAAGAUCUGAAAACUAUUUAACAAGCGAAAUAAAGCAAGAAAAUGGCAGCAGCUACAGCACAGAAAUUUAACGAACGUUUUCAGACGUUUAUGACGGGGCUCAACGAUCGCUAUGAGCCGCAUGUGCGCCAGCACCUGGCCAAGGUGUACAUGGUCUUGGGCAGCACUGCAGCCGCGACAACUGUGGGAGCCCUCUGCCAGAUGCGCGAUGUGCUAGAUCUCGGUGUGCUGGCUGCCCUGGCCACGCUGGUGCUGGUUUUGGGGCUGCAUUUCUACAAGGACGAUGGAAAAAACUAUCGCACACGUUUGAGCAUGCUCUAUGCCUUUGGAUUUUGCUCUGGGCAGACAUUGGGACCGCUGUUGGGCUACAUAAGCAGCAUCAAUCCGGCCAUUAUCGUCACGGCCCUCACUGGUACCUUUGUCACCUUUCUAUCGCUCUCGCUGGCCGCACUCCUGGCCGAGCAGGGAAAGUAUCUAUACCUGGGCGGCAUGUUAGUAAGCGUGGUCAACACCAUGGCCCUUUUGAGCCUUUUCAACAUGAUAUUCAAAUCGUACGUCGUUCAAGUGACUCAACUAUAUGUGGGAGUAUUCGUCAUGGCCGCUUUUAUAGUUUACGAUACUCAAAACAUUGUACAGAAGUGCCGCAAUGGUAACCGCGAUGUUGUACAGCAUGCCCUGGAUCUUUUCUUCGACGUAUUGAGCAUGUUCCGUCGUUUGCUCGUAAUCUUGACUCAGAAGCUCAAGACCUUUAUGGUUUAGUAGUCUAUUGAAGAAAAUCCAAUCAAAUGGUCGCCGAACACUUUGCAAUAGUUUUCCCCAAGUCAAAAAUCUCUUGAGAUUAAAAAAUUCAGACGGAGGAGCGAAAGCAAAAUGAGCGCCGCAGGAGGAACUAAGGUCUGGCGGUAGCAGCAAAAUACAACCAAAAAACAAACAAUUUAUACAUCUACCAUAUGUACACUACAAAACUGAUUACGUUAGAAAAUUCUCAAUUUUUUCAAACAUACGGCCGUGCAUAUUUCGGCUCUUAAAUUACAAUACACUCAAAUGUUCAUUGUGCAAAAGCCCAGGCGAAAAAUUCUAUAUUUAAAUAAACCCGAAGUUAAAGAAAAA